GAUGAACGCUGGCGGCGUGCUUAACACAUGCAAGUCGAACGGGAAACCUUUUAUUGAAGCUUCGGCAGAUUUAGCUGGUUUCUAGUGGCGGACGGGUGAGUAACGCGUGGGUAACCUGCCCUAUACAGGGGGAUAACAACCAGAAAUGGUUGCUAAUACCGCAUAAGCGCACAGGGCCGCAUGGUCCGGUGUGAAAAACUCCGGUGGUAUAGGAUGGACCCGCGUUGGAUGAGCCAGUUGGCAGGGUAACGGCCUACCAAAGCGACGAUCCAUAGCCGGCCUGAGAGGGUGAACGGCCACAUUGGGACUGAGACACGGCCCAGACUCCUACGGGAGGCAGCAGUGGGGAAUAUUGCACAAUGGGGGAAACCCUGAUGCAGCGACGCCGCGUGAAGGAAGAAGUAUCUCGGUAUGUAAACUUCUAUCAGCAGGGAAGAUAGUGACGGUACCUGACUAAGAAGCCCCGGCUAACUACGUG
This 478-nucleotide ribosomal RNA is filed under the name uncultured bacterium. RNAcentral's name for it is "partial 16S ribosomal RNA". It matches the Rfam family "Bacterial small subunit ribosomal RNA", at positions 28 to 507 of the family's 1533-position model. The record is from RNAcentral.